GUUCAGUUGUUUCUCAGCGUCGUCACGGUGCACAUGUGUCCUAUAAUCCUGAUAGUUCAACCUUGAGGGAUGACGAAAAUUUAAUCAGCAGAAUCAUCACGACCGUCCGCUCAACAACCGUCGAUGAUGGCGUCGACAUUUCUAGAACAUCAUAGAUCAUCAUUCAUCCCAAUCAACGCAACACCUGGUCUGAUAACUUUAAUUCUAAAAGGAAAUUUGGUGAAUGUCGAAAGUUAAACUGAAUGAAAUACAGCAGGGGCAGACUCAGCUCAGUCAACAAAACCAAACGCCUAGUUUAGCUCUAGUAACGAAAAAGGCUGUGGAAUUUCUCAAGUUGUUGUCUUGACUAGACCUUUUAUCGCCAAAUAAUAUUCGGUCCGAAUAACCUUCCCUUUGCCAGCAGUUGCUGGACUGGUAGUAUAUAUUUGAGCAACGCAGCAACACACGGACAAAAACAGGUACUCAACUUUAUCGAACAAGUAGCUGAAGAGUCCUCGUCCAUUGGCUGAUGGCUCCAACCUGUUCUCCGUGACUCGCACCAUUUCGUAUCUGUGGAGGGAGCAAGGAUGACGAGAUAAUCGAGGAGGACACCUCCCUUGAGUGGUCCUGACAAUCCUUUGGGAUUCCCACUCCAAAGGGUCUGGAAUGAAUAGCCAUAGAUGACACGAAGGUGACGACCACUUAGCGAAUCUGGCGUUGAUGUCGACGAUAAAUUGCAGGUUGAAAUUAUGACCAACCAAACAAGAAAAGGUUAUCAUCUUGAUGGAAUAACCUGGGCUGACCCGGCUGCCUUGGUAACAAAUCAUGUUCGGCUUUUCUUGUGUCAGUUGCUGUCAUUUGCCGAAUCGAUGAUCACCAUAGCACCGCAGACAAAGGAAAUUUGAGCUAGUCAAACGGAGAAUCAAAAGGCAUACUCAACUUUAUCAAACAAGUAACUGAAGAGUCCUCGUCCAUUGGCUGGUGGCUCCAACCUGUUCUCCGUAACUUGGACCAUUUCGUACCUGUGUAAGGAUGAUGAGGUAGUCGAGGACGACACCUCCCUUGAGUGGCCCAGACAAUCCUCUGGGGUUGCCACUCCAAAGCGGCUGAAAUGGAUCAAAGAUGACACGAAGGUGGUGACCACUGAUAGAAUUCAGCGAGGAUGACGACGAGAAACCACAGGGCGAAAUGGUGACAAACGACAGAAAGUAAUAAGUUGCUGUCAUUUGCCGAAUCGAUGAUCACCAUAGCACCGCAGACAAAGGGACUAUUUUUCGGGAGCGCAAAGGUGACAAACGAUGGGAAUAAGCCGUCUUUCGUCAUCUGCAAAUUGCAUUUUCCAGUUCUUUUGAAAUCUGCGUUGAUUGCGUCUUUGAGGAGGAAAUGGUGGUGAGACUCAACUUGAUCCCACAAGUAGCUGAAGAGGCCUCGUCCAUUCGCCGGCGGCUCUAAUCUGUUCUCCGUGACUCUUACCAUUUCGUACCUGUGGCAGAUGCCAGGAUAAUACGAUAGGAAAUCGAGGACGACACCUCCCUUGAGUGGCCCCGACAAUCCUUUGGGGUUGCCACUCCAAAGCGGCUGAAAUAAAUUAAAGAUGACACGAAGGUGGCGACCACUGAGAGAAUUCAGCGAGGAUGUCGACGUAAACCCACAAGUCAAAAUAACGGCCAUCAGGAAGAAAGAUGGACAUAAAUGGUCCAAACGGAAUUGCCGAGUCAUAGUUUGGCAAUAUCAAUUCAUAAGAAAACCUUCUUAUCGACGUGGGAGAAUAUUUCCUUGGCCAUCAAUUAUUCGGCGUUUCAUUUUCUAUGGGUUGCCUCGACCCUUCAAGUUGAAAAUAGUCCUCGGGUCAAAAAACUUUUCGGGCGCCAGCGGUUGGGGAAGAACGGACGAA
This 1873-nucleotide long non-coding RNA is filed under the name Daphnia pulicaria. RNAcentral describes it as "uncharacterized LOC124326770". The record is from RNAcentral. Lineage: Eukaryota; Metazoa; Arthropoda; Branchiopoda; Diplostraca; Daphniidae.